GUUCCAGCUCGGAAGAAAGCAUGGCGAUGGAGAAGAGAAUUCCGCGGAAAAGGGCACGACCUCAACGUCUGAUUGACGAGAAUGACGAAGAAGCCGUGUUUCUACCAGAGCAUGCUAUCCAGAGGUAUAAAAAGGUCCUGCAGUACAUCGAUAAGGGAGUCACCAAAACCCUGGCUUACCGCAAGUGUGGGAUUGACCGAAAAACCAUUGUUGACACUGCAGCAAUAGCGGAGCUGGAUGCGUGUGACACUGAAGCCUACAAGAGCUUGCGUGAAAAUUUUCAUAGAGGGCAAAAACUGUCACAAUUUGCAGAGAAAUGCAGGGAAAUUUGCAAGAAAGAGCCACUUCAAACUUUGAUUGAAGAUAAAAAGAAAAAUGGCCAGCUAAUUGACCUCUGUCACAGACAAAAAUAACUUUUGUUCACAUGUGUGUUGGCAAGGUUGAAGUUCAGGCCUUGAGAGUUGACGUUUUAUAGUUUUUA
This is a long non-coding RNA of Esox lucius (northern pike), 481 nucleotides long. Lineage: Eukaryota; Metazoa; Chordata; Actinopteri; Esociformes; Esocidae. The record is from Ensembl.